This 337-nucleotide ribosomal RNA is filed under the name uncultured soil bacterium. RNAcentral describes it as "bacterial SSU rRNA". It matches the Rfam family "Bacterial small subunit ribosomal RNA", at positions 26 to 363 of the family's 1533-position model. The record is from RNAcentral.
AGAUUGAACGCUGGCGGCAGGCCUAACACAUGCAAGUCGAGCGGCAGCACGGGUACUUGUACCUGGUGGCGAGCGGCGGACGGGUGAGUAAUGCCUAGGAAUCUGCCUGGUAGUGGGGGAUAACGCUCGGAAACGGACGCUAAUACCGCAUACGUCCUACGGGAGGAAGCGGGGGACCUUCGGGCCUCGCGCCAUUAGAUGAGCCUAGGUCGGAUUAGCUAGUUGGUGAGGUAAUGGCUCACCAAGGCGACGAUCCGUAACUGGUCUGAGAGGAUGAUCAGUCACACUGGAACUGAGACACGGUCCAGACUCCUACGGGAGGCAGCAGGUGGGAAUA